Molecule: ribosomal RNA, 253 nt
Filed under: uncultured bacterium
Lineage: Bacteria
Description: partial 16S ribosomal RNA
Rfam family: Bacterial small subunit ribosomal RNA
Source: RNAcentral
UACAGAGGUCUCAAGCGUUGUUCGGAUUCAUUGGGCGUAAAGGGUGCGUAGGUGGCGCCGUAAGUCAGGUGUGAAAUUUCGGAGCUUAACUCCGAAACUGCAUUUGAUACUGCGGUGCUUGAGGACUGGAGAGGAGACUGGAAUUUACGGUGUAGCAGUGAAAUGCGUAGAGAUCGUAAGGAAGACCAGUGGCGAAGGCGGGUCUCGUGGACAGUCCUGACACUGAGGCACGAAGGCCAGGGGAGCAAACGGG